GGGAGACCGCGUUUCGAGGAUCAGUGGCGGCAGCACCCGCGGCCGCGCGCGGCGCGGCGCAGGCGGCGGGCGGCGAGGUACCCGGGCCCCCUCCUGCUCCGAUCUGGACUGUUUAGCGCCAGCAAGCAGGCUAAAGAGAGCCGGCAGCAAGAAAGCUGAAGCUUAGCAGAGAUGGAAAAGCUCUGUGCUGUGGACGGAAAAAAGCCUGCAUCUCCAGACAGAGCCUGUGCGCCCCACCACCCCGUACAUGGAGGGAAGGGGUGGGGAGAGGAGGAGGCCCGACUUGGUGUGACCCAUUUCCGUCUGUACGGCAGCAGAGAGUAUAUUUCUUCAAAAGCAUCAUUGGCCUCCAAGUGACUGACAUAGGAACCUGAUGGGAAAGUGAUUUGCAAUUGUUUUUUUUUUUUUUUUCCAGGAAGAAAGGAGAGAGCAAGGUGUAGCUGAUUAGCAAGUUAAUUAUUUCAGUACCCCAAGGGUUGCAAUGUGGUGGUGAGUUGUCCAGCCCUGGUGCAAUUUCACAGUCCAUGCAUCUCCUGGUGAGCACCCGGAGGGCCGAGUCUGUCUCUCUCCAUCUACCUGCCUUGAGUCUUCCUGCUAUACCUGGGGGCAUGAGCAGGGGCUGGGAGGCAACAGGAUCUACACUGGGCCUGUGUUGUGUGUGGGGGCCACGGAAAAAGGGUGAAGGAAGGCUCAGAGAUGCCAUCCCCUUCCGCUGAGUGUGUAAUUACCUGGCCUUCUCUGCUUAAAAAAAAAAAAAAAAAAACUUUGGUUUAAUAAAUAUUAAUGAGA
This is a non-coding RNA of Oryctolagus cuniculus (rabbit), 789 nucleotides long. The record is from RefSeq and is a predicted model, not a curated record. Lineage: Eukaryota; Metazoa; Chordata; Mammalia; Lagomorpha; Leporidae.